CGAGGGCCACGAGGAACACCGCGCCGGCUCGUACCCAUAUCCGCAGCAGGUCUCCAAGGUGAAUAGCCUCUAGUCGAUAGAAUAAUGUAGGUAAGGGAAGUCGGCAAACCCGAUCUGUAACUUCGGGAUAAGGAUUGGCUCUGAGGAUCGUGGCGCGCCGGGCUUGGUCGGGAAGUGGAGCGGUGCCAACGUGCCGGGCCUGGGCGAGGUGAAAGGCGCUCGCCGUCUGGACCCUAGCUCGGUCCCGUGCCUUGGCCACCCACGGACCUUCCUUGCUGCGAGCCUCCCGGCUGUCUAGUUU
Molecule: ribosomal RNA, 301 nt
Filed under: Latimbus refulgens
Lineage: Eukaryota; Metazoa; Arthropoda; Insecta; Hemiptera; Coreidae
Description: partial large subunit ribosomal RNA
Rfam family: Eukaryotic large subunit ribosomal RNA
Source: RNAcentral